Molecule: transfer RNA, 71 nt
Filed under: Marmota monax (woodchuck)
Lineage: Eukaryota; Metazoa; Chordata; Mammalia; Rodentia; Sciuridae
Description: tRNA.Ala
Source: RNAcentral
GGGGUGGUGGCUCAGUGGUAGAGUGCUUUCCUAGCAUGUGUGAGGCACUGAGUUCCAUUCUCAGUACUGCA